This is a long non-coding RNA of Cucumis sativus (cucumber), 450 nucleotides long. RefSeq lists it as uncharacterized. The transcript is spliced from 3 exons. Lineage: Eukaryota; Viridiplantae; Streptophyta; Magnoliopsida; Cucurbitales; Cucurbitaceae. The record is from RefSeq and is a predicted model, not a curated record.
CUUCUAGAUCUAAAAGGAGCUUGGAUUGUCUCCUCCAGUUGGUUAAAGGAAAGCUACCGGGAAGGCAGAUUUGUUGACGAGUUGCCUUACAUACUAAAUGAUGAUGACUACAUAUCGAAGUAUCGAGCCAGCCUAAAAGCUGCAGUUCUCAGGGCAAAAGCAUGUUCUUGAGCUUUAUUUGAAGGGUAUGAUGUUUGCAUAUCAGCUCACGCUCAACCACCACCUAAAACUCUAUCCCUGAUAGUCAAGUCAGCCGGUGGAAAUGUAAUUUCUCUGUUAUUGUACAAAUCUCGAGUACUAGGUUUGGUUCUCUAUAUUACAUAUACAACCACUAUAAUAUGGCUAUCCUCCCAUCUAAUGAAGACGUGAAGUUCUCAACAAACAAGCACGUAUACGAAUUCUAGACAUGGGUCAAUAAAUCAUAGACAUGGUGACGUGUCAUUUUUUUCU